This 331-nucleotide ribosomal RNA is filed under the name uncultured eukaryote. RNAcentral describes it as "partial 18S ribosomal RNA". It matches the Rfam family "Eukaryotic small subunit ribosomal RNA", at positions 1470 to 1796 of the family's 1831-position model. The record is from RNAcentral.
CCCUUAGAUGUCCGGGGCCGCACGCGCGCUACACUGAAGGAAUCAGCGUGCUAGAAAACCUUGUUUGACAUGGCUAGGUAACCCGUUGAAAAUCUUUCGUGAUUGGGAUCGGGACUUGCAAAUGUGUCCCUUGAACGAGGAAUUCCCAGUAAGUGCGGGUCAUAAGCUCGCGCUGAUUACGUCCCUGCCCUUUGUACACACCGCCCGUCGCUGCCCGGAACUGAGCCGUUUCGAGAAGACUGGGGACUGCGAACUUUGGGCUGGAAAACAGCUUUUUGUUUGUGGAAACCACUUUAAUCGCAGCGGCUUGAACCGGGCAAAAGUCGUAACA